Non-coding RNA from Xylaria castorea, 111 nucleotides. Lineage: Eukaryota; Fungi; Ascomycota; Sordariomycetes; Xylariales; Xylariaceae. The record is from the annotation of a GenBank genome assembly.
GCCAAGUUGGCGGAGUGGUUAAGGCGGGGGUCCGCCGACAGACCGGGUGUAGGGGUUGAGGUUUUCCUCUGGGGCGAAAUCUCCGCGCGAGUUCGAAUCUUGCACUUGGCA